GGGCGUAGCGAUUGGCGCCAUAUUGAAAAUUAAGAAAUACAGUAUAAUAAAUACAUAUUUACCGUGUCAGUAGGAAUGUUAUUAAUUUAUUGAAAUAUUUAUUUAAAACAGGAUUAAUUCAAUGUUUAGAAUUAAAGUUGGAAAUAGAACGUAUCAGAAGCUGAGAAAAAUAUAUUUUCGAUAUGAACGUUUUUAUUGUAAAGUUGAUAACAGUGAAGAUAAAAAGAAUCCGCGAUUUAAUCCAUUGAAUAUUCAAAUGCUAUCUCCUUCUCUCCAUUCACAAAUAUUCAAAAAUUCACCACAAAUCAAACAAGAAAGUAUUAAAAAGAGCGUCGAUCAUCUGAAACACCAUCAACUAUGGGGAAAGGAAACAUCCGUUCUUCCAGAUAUAGAAUGGAAACUGCCUAAAUUAUUUGGAAACAAUAUUGAUGAACAUUUUCAAUAUCUUGGGAAUAGAUUUUCAUCUGAAUAUAGGAAACUUCUAGAAAUUCUAAUACAUGCUGAGCUUCCAGAAAAACCCCAAAAAUGGGAAUUUAUAAAAGGAUGGGUCAGAUAUUCAAAUGGCAAAGUAGAAUCUGUUGAUUAUCCUCUGGAAUCAGCUCUUGUAUUUGAUGUUGAAAUUUGUUUGAAAGAUGCACCAUAUCCAACAUUAGCAACUGCAGUUUCGAAUGAAGCUUGGUAUUGUUGGUGUAGUGAAAGACUUGUUAAUGAGCAGUUUUCUUGGUCAAAAGGCAUUACUUUGGCUGAUCUCAUACCAUUAGAAAUACAAGGAAAUGUUAAAGCAUCAGGAAAAAAAGAUUGGUCAGAAAAAAUAGUAAUUGGUCAUAAUGUAAUGUUUGAUCGAGCUUUUGUAAAAGAGCAAUAUUUCGUUCAGGGUACAAAAUUAAGAUUUUUAGAUACAUUAUCACUGCAUAUGUGUGUUUCUGGAUUAACAUCUACUCAGAGAGCUAUGUCAAUGGCUUACAAAUCUAAGAAAAAAGAUAAUUCAGAAAAUGAUUUAUCUCCUUUGAUGUGGUUAGAUAUCAGUUCAUUAAAUAAUUUGGCUGAUGUCUAUUCUUUAUAUAAUGAAGGAGAGCAAAUUAAUAAAGAUCCUAAAGAUAUUUUCAUUACUGGCACUUUGAAUGAUAUCAGAGAAAAUUUUCAGGAAUUAGUUUCAUAUUGUGCAAAUGAUGUUUUUGCUACCCAUAAAAUUUUGCAGAAGUUGCUUCCUAUAUUUUAUUCAAGAUUUCCUCAUCCAGUAACUUUGGCAGCAAUGUUAGAAAUGUCAACAGCAUAUCUUCCUGUUAAUUAUAAUUGGAUUAGAUAUAUUGAAGAUUCUCAAACAACAUAUAAUAAUUUACAACAUGAAUUAAAACUUUCUUUAAUUCAUUUAGCUGAUGACAAUUGUGAUUUAUUAAAUAAUCAAAGAUAUAAAAAAGAUCCAUGGAUGUGGGACUUGGAUUGGUCUGUUCAAGAAUUAAAAUUUCGUAAAACAAUAUCAAAGAAAAAAAAUCAAAAAUCUUUAAAAAGUCAAAGUGAUAAUUCUAUAAAUGAGGUAAGUGAUGAUGAAUUGUUAUUAGUUGAAAAAGUUCAAGAUAUUCUUCAAACUGCUAAUUACUUACCAAAAAUAAGACCAUUUCUUCCUGGUUAUCCUUUGUGGUACAGAGAAUUAUGUGAAAAACCUAAAAAAAAUGGAAAACAUGAUGAAUGGAUAUUUGGUCCUGUUCUGAUUAGCACUCAAAUAAGAUCAGUUCCAAAAUUACUGCGUUUAAUCUGGGACAAUUUUCCUUUACAUUAUGAUAAAAAGCAUGGCUGGGGCUAUUUGGUUCCAAAUUGGUGUGGUCCAGAAGAAAUUUAUUCUGAAAAUCAGGAUAAUAUAUUUCCUAUAAAAGAACUUUUAAAAAAAAUUGUUUUUAAAGCUGUUCAGUUACCAAAUGUUGAACACAUAACUUCAGCAGAAUUUGAAAAUAUUUGGAAAAAGGUGGUAGAACCAAAAGAAUCGCACAAAGAAAGAGAAUUACAAUGGAGUCUUAUACUAGGCAAAGAUUCAACUAAAAAUCUUCUUUUUCAUCACGGGAAUGGACCUUUUGAUGAUGUUUGUAUUCAAGGAUGCCAGUUUUUUCGUUUACCACACAAGGAUGGUCCUCAUAAACGAGUUGGUAAUCCAUUGUCAAAAGAUUUUCUAAUUAAGAUAUCUGAUGGUACCCUUCAAGUUUAUGAUAGUGGAUAUGCUGAAAAAGCAUUAAAAUUUAGUAAGAUGAUAUCUUAUUGGAAAAAUUCUCAUAAAAGAAUAGAGUCCCAAAUGAUUGUUAGUUUAAAUAAAAAUGAAUUACCUCGAGCAAUAACAAGAAAUGAAAAAUAUGAAGAAGAAAGUAUGUAUGGAGCAAUUUUGCCUCGCCUUAUAAUAGCAGGAACUGUAACACGUAGAGCUGUAGAACCCACAUGGUUAACUGCUAGUAAUGCCUAUCUAGAUCGAGUUGGGAGCGAAUUAAAAUCAAUGAUUCAGUCACCUCCAGGAUAUCAUUUUGUUGGUGCUGAUGUGGAUUCACAAGAAUUAUGGAUUGCAUCACUUUUAGGCGAUUCGCAUUUUACUGGAAUUCAUGGCUGUACAGCAUUUGGCUGGAUGACACUUCAAGGAAAGAAGAGUAAUGCUACUGACAUGCAUAGUAAAACAGCCUUAUCUGUUGGAAUUACCAGAGAACAAGCUAAGAUAAUUAAUUAUGGUCGGAUUUAUGGUGCUGGUCAACCAUUUGCCCAGCAGUUAUUAAUGCAAUUCAAUCAUCAUCUAACACCAGAAGAUGCUAAACAGAAAGCUAAAAAAAUGUAUACAGAAACUAAAGGAAUUAGAAAACUAGUUAAUGAGUUUGAAGAUGAUAAUGAUGAACAAGAUACAAUUUUAACAAAUAAAUUUAAAAAAAGAAAGUGGAUAGGUGGAAGUGAAUCACAUAUGUUUAACAAAUUAGAAGAAAUUGCACAAUCUUCAGAACCUCGAACACCAGUGCUUGGUUGUCGAAUCAGUAAAGCCUUAGAACCUGAAACUGUGGAUAAAAACUUCAUGACAAGUCGUAUAAAUUGGGUUGUGCAAAGUUCUGCAGUUGAUUAUCUUCACUUAAUGCUUGUGUGCAUGAAAUGGUUAAUAGAAGAGUAUGGAAUAAAUGGAAGAUUUUCUAUAAGUAUUCAUGAUGAAGUACGCUAUCUUAUUCAAAGUGAAGAUCGCUAUCGGGCAGCUCUUGCAUUGCAGAUAACAAAUUUACUUACUAGAGCAAUGUUUGCACAUAAAGUUGGAAUGAAUGAUUUACCUCAGUUCUGUGGACAUUGAUACAGUUAUUAGAAAAGAAGUGGAUAUGGAUUGCAAAACACCAUCAAAUCCUCAUGGAUUAGAAAGAGGAUAUGGAAUACCACCAGGUGAAUCUUUAGAUAUUUAUAAUAUUAUCAAGAAAACAAAUGGCUCUUUGAAGAAUUAAUUCAAGAAAGAUGCUUUUGUAUUUUGAUAAAGAGAAUAUAACAUAUUCAUGUACAAAGGUUUUAUUAAAAU
RNAcentral lists this unclassified non-coding RNA (3514 nucleotides) under Centruroides sculpturatus (bark scorpion). Its description in RNAcentral is "dNA polymerase subunit gamma-1-like, transcript variant X1". The record is from RNAcentral. Lineage: Eukaryota; Metazoa; Arthropoda; Arachnida; Scorpiones; Buthidae.